This 224-nucleotide ribosomal RNA is filed under the name uncultured bacterium. RNAcentral's name for it is "partial 16S ribosomal RNA". It matches the Rfam family "Bacterial small subunit ribosomal RNA", at positions 15 to 236 of the family's 1533-position model. The record is from RNAcentral.
GAUCCUGACUCAGGACGAACGCUGGCGGCACGCUUAACACAUGCAAGUCGAACGAGAGAAGAGAAGCUUGCUUUUCUGAUCUAGUGGCGGACGGGUGAGUAACACGUGAGCAAUCUGCCUUUCAGAGGGGGAUACCGAUUGGAAACGAUCGUUAAUACCGCAUAAUAUAAUUGAACCGCAUGAUUUGAUUAUCAAAGAUUUAUCGCUGAAAGAUGAGCUCGCGU